RNAcentral lists this transfer RNA (73 nucleotides) under Hadesarchaea archaeon. Its description in RNAcentral is "tRNA-Thr". It matches the Rfam family "tRNA". From Rfam's summary of the family: Transfer RNA (tRNA) molecules are approximately 80 nucleotides in length. Lineage: Archaea; Methanobacteriati; Hadarchaeota (SeqCode); Hadarchaeia (SeqCode). The record is from RNAcentral.
GCCGCCGUAGCUCAGCCGGCAGAGCGACCGCCUCGUAAGCGGUAGGUCGUGGGUUCAAUCCCCACCGGCGGCU